This 106-nucleotide small nuclear RNA is filed under the name Alligator mississippiensis (American alligator). The record is from RNAcentral. Lineage: Eukaryota; Metazoa; Chordata; Crocodylia; Alligatoridae.
UCCGACCCUCCAACUAUGAAACUAUGAAAAUUGAAACGAUACAGAGAAGAUUAGCAUAGCCCCCUGUGCAAGGAUGACAGAAAUGUGUGAAGUGUUCCAUAUUUUU